UUCGCAUGGACGAAAGUCUGACGGAGCAACGCCGCGUGAGUGAUGAAGGCUUUCGAGGUCGUAAAACUCUGUUAGUUAGGGAAGAACAAGUGCUAGUUGAAUAAGCUGGCACCUUGACGGUACCUAACCAGAAAGCCACGGCUAACUACGUGCCAGCAGCCGCGGUAAUACGUAGGUGGCAAGCGUUAUCCUGGAAUUAUUGGGCGUAAAGCGCGCGCAGGUGGUUUCUUAAGUCUGAUGUGAAAGCCCACGGCUCAACCGUGGAGGGUCAUUGGAAACUGGGAGACUUGAGUGCAGAAGAGGAAAGUGGAAUUCCAUGUGUAGCGGUGAAAUGCGUAGAGAUAUGGAGGAACACCAGUGGCGAAUGCGACUUUCUGGUCUGUAACUGACACUGAGGCGCGAAAGCGUGGGGAGCAAACAGGAUUACAUACCCUGGUAGUCCACGCCGUAAACGAUGAGUGCUAAGUGUUAGAGGGUUUCCGCCCUUUAAUGCUGAAGUUAACGCAUUAAGCACUCCGCCUGGGGAGUACGGCCGCAAGGCUGAAACUCAAAGGAAUUGACGGGGCCCCGGCACAAGAG
RNAcentral lists this ribosomal RNA (579 nucleotides) under Bacillus cereus. RNAcentral describes it as "bacterial SSU rRNA". It matches the Rfam family "Bacterial small subunit ribosomal RNA", at positions 365 to 931 of the family's 1533-position model. The record is from RNAcentral. Lineage: Bacteria; Bacillati; Bacillota; Bacilli; Caryophanales; Bacillaceae.